Molecule: transfer RNA, 84 nt
Filed under: Candidatus Roizmanbacteria bacterium RIFCSPLOWO2_01_FULL_37_57
Lineage: Bacteria; Candidatus Roizmaniibacteriota
Description: tRNA-Ser
Rfam family: tRNA
About the family: Transfer RNA (tRNA) molecules are approximately 80 nucleotides in length.
Source: RNAcentral
GGAGGGUUGGCCGAGUGGUUUAUGGCGCAAGUCUUGAAAACUUGUGGGCGAAAGCCCUCAGAGGUUCGAAUCCUCUACCCUCCG